RNAcentral lists this ribosomal RNA (133 nucleotides) under uncultured bacterium. RNAcentral's name for it is "partial 16S ribosomal RNA". The record is from RNAcentral.
CGUAGUUAGCCGUGACUUAUUCCUGGGGUACCGUCCUUCCUCUUCCCCCAGAAAAGGAGUUUACGACCCAAGGGCCUUCAUCCUCCACGCGGCGUUGCUGCAUCAGGGUUGCCCCCAUUGUGCAAUAUUCCUC